This 336-nucleotide ribosomal RNA is filed under the name uncultured bacterium. RNAcentral's name for it is "bacterial SSU rRNA". It matches the Rfam family "Bacterial small subunit ribosomal RNA", at positions 9 to 347 of the family's 1533-position model. The record is from RNAcentral.
GAGUUUGAUCCUGGCUCAGAUUGAACGCUGGCGGAAUGCUUUACACAUGCAAGUCGAACGGCAGCACGGACUUCGGUCUGGUGGCGAGUGGCGAACGGGUGAGUAACAUAUCGGAACGUAUCCAAUAAUGGGGGAUAACUAAUCGAAAGGUUGGCUAAUACCGCAUACGCCCUACGGGGGAAAGCUAGGGACCUUCGGGCCUGGCGUUAAUGGAGCGGCCGAUAUCUGAUUAGCUAGUUGGUGGGGUAAAGGCCCACCAAGGCGACGAUCAGUAGCUGGUCUGAGAGGACGACCAGCCACACUGGAACUGAGACACGGUCCAGACUCCUACGGGAG